GCCCUCGUGGAGAAAUGGUAACUCGUCAGACUCCUAAUCGGGAGAUCCAUCUGGAUAUUGCGGUAAGUACCCUUUCUCCUUUGUCCUUCACAAACAGACAGCUAAUGCUCAUAAGGGUUCGAGUCCCGUCGGGGGUG
Molecule: non-coding RNA, 137 nt
Organism: Lasiosphaeris hirsuta
Lineage: Eukaryota; Fungi; Ascomycota; Sordariomycetes; Sordariales; Lasiosphaeriaceae
Source: the annotation of a GenBank genome assembly